AACGAACGCUGGCGGCAGGCUUAACACAUGCAAGUCGAACGGAUCCUUCGGGAUUAGUGGCAGACGGGUGAGUAACGCGUGGGAACGUACCCUUUGCUACGGAAUAACUCAGGGAAACUUGAGCUAAUACCGUAUGUGCCCUACGGGGGAAAGAUUUAUCGGCAAAGGAUCGGCCCGCGUUGGAUUAGCUAGUUGGUGGGGUAAUGGCCUACCAAGGCGACGAUCCAUAGCUGGUCUGAGAGGAUGAUCAGCCACACUGGGACUGAGACACGGCCCAGACUCCUACGGGAGGCAGCAGUGGGGAAUAUUGGACAAUGGGCGCAAGCCUGAUCCAGCCAUGCCGCGUGAGUGAUGAAGGUCUUAGGAUUGUAAAGCUCUUUCACCGGUGAAGAUAAUGGCGGUAGCCGGAGAAGAAGCCCCGGCUAACUUCGUG
RNAcentral lists this ribosomal RNA (433 nucleotides) under uncultured bacterium. RNAcentral describes it as "partial 16S ribosomal RNA". It matches the Rfam family "Bacterial small subunit ribosomal RNA", at positions 29 to 507 of the family's 1533-position model. The record is from RNAcentral.